AGCAGCCGCCGCGGUAAUACGUAGGUGGCAAGCGUUGUCCGGAAUUAUUGGGCGUAAAGCGCGCGCAGGCGGAUAGGUCAGUCUGUCUUAAAAGUUCGGGGCUUAACCCCGUGAUGGGAUGGAAACUGCCAAUCUAGAGUAUCGGAGAGGAAAGUGGAAUUCCUAGUGUAGCGGUGAAAUGCGUAGAUAUUAGGAAGAACACCAGUGGCGAAGGCGACUUUCUGGACGAAAACUGACGCUGAGGCGCGAAAGCCAGGGGAGCGAACGGGAUUAGAUACCCCUGUAGUCCCUGUCUCUUAUACA
RNAcentral lists this ribosomal RNA (303 nucleotides) under uncultured bacterium. RNAcentral describes it as "partial 16S ribosomal RNA". It matches the Rfam family "Bacterial small subunit ribosomal RNA", at positions 507 to 809 of the family's 1533-position model. The record is from RNAcentral.